RNAcentral lists this ribosomal RNA (778 nucleotides) under uncultured Neocallimastigales. Its description in RNAcentral is "partial large subunit ribosomal RNA". It matches the Rfam family "Eukaryotic large subunit ribosomal RNA", at positions 23 to 646 of the family's 3401-position model. The record is from RNAcentral. Lineage: Eukaryota; Fungi; Neocallimastigomycota; Neocallimastigomycetes; Neocallimastigales.
AGAGAGAGACAUGCGCGCAUAUCAAUAAGCGGAGGAAAAGGAACUAACUAGGAUUCCCUCAGUAACGGCGAGUGAAGCGGGAAGAGCUCAAAUUUGAAAUCUUCAAGGUUCUACCUUGACGAAUUGUAGUUUAAAGAAGUGUUUUCUGUUGGAGUUUUGGUAAAAGUUCUUUGGAAUAGGACAUCAUAGAGGGUGAGAAUCCCGUAUUUGACCAUUACUUUCCAACUUUGUGAUACACUUUCAAAGAGUCGGAUUGUUUGGGAAUGCAGUCCGAAAUGGGUGGUAAAUUUCAUCUAAAGCUAAAUAUUGGCGAGAGACCGAUAGCGAACAAGUACCGUGAGGGAAAGAUGAAAAGAACUUUGAAAAGAGAGUUAAACAGUACGUGAAAUUGUCAAAAGGGAAGCGUUUGACACCAGUGUUGUUUUCUCGAAAAUCAAUUAAAAAGAGUUAGGAUUUUGUUGUGUAUUGACCUUAUCAGCUUCUGCAUUUCAUUUUCUUGUCUUUUUUAAUGCACUUUUCGUUUAACAAGUCAACAUCAGUUUCUUUUGUUGUAAAAAGGUCAUUGGAAGGUGGCUUUCUUUUCGGAGAAAGUGUUUAUAGCCUUUGGCCUCUGCAAUCGGAGAGAUUGAGGUCUGCAGCGUAGAUCCUUCGGGGUUAGAUACAUUUGUGCUAAGUUAUAGCCUUUCAUAGACAACUUGUUGACUAUGAUCAGUCAAUGUAGCUUACUCGCUUAUGCUAUUUUACCUACGCUUAGGAUGUUGAUGUGAUACUGCGAGCA